Molecule: ribosomal RNA, 169 nt
Filed under: uncultured Methylocystaceae bacterium
Lineage: Bacteria; Pseudomonadati; Pseudomonadota; Alphaproteobacteria; Hyphomicrobiales; Methylocystaceae
Description: partial 16S ribosomal RNA
Rfam family: Bacterial small subunit ribosomal RNA
Source: RNAcentral
CCUACGGGAGGCAGCAGUGGGGAAUAUUGGACAAUGGGCGAAGGCCUGAUCCAGCCAUGCUGCGUGAGUGAUGAAGGCCCUAGGGUUGUAAAGCUCUUUCGCCAGGGACGAUAAUGACGGUACCUGGAUAAGAAGCCCCGGCUAACUUCGUGCCAGCAGCCGCGGUAAU